GUGAGGGAAGACGCCCUUUGGGGUGUAAACCUCUUUUCAGGGGGAUGAAACGGCACCUUCGGGUGCNUAAGACAGUACCCCUGGAAUAAGCAUCGGCUAANUACGUGCCAGCAGCCGCGGUAAUACGUAGGAUGCAAGCGUUGUCCGGAUUUACUGGGCGUAAAGCGCGCGCAGGCGGCACACCAAGUACCCUCUGAAAUCUCCCUGCUCAACGGGGAGGGUGGAAGGUAGACUGGUGAGCUAGAGGUCGGUAGAGGGUGGUGGAAUUGCUGGUGUAGCGGUGAAAUGCGUAGAUAUCAGCAGGAACACCCGUGGCGAAGGCGGCCACCUGGGCCGAUAAAACCCCUCUUAGUACUUUGUACUCAUUCUACUUCAUGUAGAAUGAAAGAGAGGGUACCUGACGCUGAGG
RNAcentral lists this ribosomal RNA (409 nucleotides) under uncultured soil bacterium C0119. RNAcentral's name for it is "bacterial SSU rRNA". It matches the Rfam family "Bacterial small subunit ribosomal RNA", at positions 401 to 814 of the family's 1533-position model. The record is from RNAcentral.